This 1509-nucleotide long non-coding RNA is filed under the name Homo sapiens (human). Its description in RNAcentral is "non-protein coding lnc-RAB17-2:1". The record is from RNAcentral. Lineage: Eukaryota; Metazoa; Chordata; Mammalia; Primates; Hominidae.
UUUUUUUUUUUUUUUUUUUUUUUUUAGAGACAGUGUCUCACUCUGUCUCCCAGGCUAGAGUACAGUGUGCAAUCAUAGCUCACUGCAGCCUUGAACUCCUGGCCUCAAGCAAUCCUCCCACCUUGGCUUCCCAAUGUGCUAGGUUUACAGGCGUGAAAACAUUGUGUUGUGUGUGUGUGUGUUUUUUUUUUUUUUUUUAGACAGAGUUUCGCUCUUGUUGUCCAGGCUGGAGUACAAUGGCUUGAUCUUGGCUCACUGCAAUCUCUGCCUCGCAGGUUCAAGCGAUUCUCCUGCCUCAGCCUCUGGAGUGGCUGGGAUUACAGGCGCCCACCAUCACGCCCGGCCAAUUUUUUGUAUUUUUAGUAGAGACAGGGUUUCACCAUGUUGGCCAGGCUGGCCUCGAACUCUUGACCUCAGGUGAUCCACCUGCCUUGGCCUCCCAAUGUACUGAGAUUACAGGCAUGAGCCACCACGCCCGGCCAAAAACAUUUAAAAAAUGACUGUCCCUGCUCAAAUACUGCAGUAGGAAAUGUAAUUUGACAUAUAUCACUUCCAGAAAAAAACUUUAAAUCUUUCUAUAAAAUGAAUUUGAUACAUCAUCAGCAUGAAGUGAAGUUAAAAUCUCUUACAAAGUAAAUUCAGGUAUAUCAACAAUGAGAUCCAAAAGUAUCGGUUCAAGAUCAAAGACUCAUAUGAGGUAAAGGCAAAUAAAGCCCCUCAUGCUUUCAGACAUUUACUUGUUAUCCUUAAAAUGAUUAUUGUUCUAAGGUGCAAAUCUUAUCAUUCAGUGACCUAUUUGCUAUUUGGCUGUUUAUCUCCUUUAAAUAAAAUACCAUACAGGUUAUAAUGUACAUUUUAAAAUCAAAUAUGAAAGUACACAUAUGUGAACAAGACAUUAAUUUAAAUAUCAAUUAUAUUCAUAAUACAGAAGUCUAAGAAUGCUAUUUGGUCAUUUCAAUUAGAUGCUGAUAUAUUUGGUCAAGAAAACCCACAUUCCUAUCAGCCUAAGGCAAAUAGUAAAUGCCUCUAUUUUUAUUAAGUGGACUAUAAACAGUAGACAUUAUUGUUUGAUACUACUGGAAUGCUCUCAAUUAGAACGUACACUGAUAACAAAUAUGUCUUUCUAAUCUGGGUGAUAACCUCAAUGAUUACAUGGAAAUCUACAAGUAACAGUCUAUAACUUAAAGCAGUAGAGCACCUGGUAAUUGUCAUACAGUGCCUCUCUAUGAAUUUAGAACAUUCUACUUACAUUGGCAGUGGAGAGAAAAGACCCCUUCACACUGAGACUUCCUGUGCACCGCGCCUGCCGCCUGCCUCAGCUUAGGACAUGGUACAGUCUUCUUUGCUUUUGCCCUUCUCAUUCCCUCCUCUGGUAUCUUCUCUGCUUUCUGGAUUGAAGUGCCCUGGCUCUCUUCCUGGUGCCGACAAGUCAUCGUUCUCUAGGCUAUUGCUGUCUAAAGCUUUCCUGACGGUCUGACUUGGAUGUUCUGACAUCUCACACCUCUCUGU